Molecule: ribosomal RNA, 1516 nt
Filed under: metagenome
Description: bacterial LSU rRNA
Rfam family: Bacterial large subunit ribosomal RNA
Source: RNAcentral
UGGCCUAAGGCCAGGUCGAAAGACGUAACCGAUGGACAACAGGUUGAAAUUCCUGUACCUUAAGUAAACAGAACUGUGGGGACACGUGUGGAGAGCACAAGCCGGAAAUGGAAAAGCCGGUGCAAGCGAGGUAGGAGUACAGUAGGCAAAUCCGCUGUACAAUCCGAAGACGUGAUGCGGACCGAAUUAAGAGUAGGGAAGUGUGUGAGCCAUGCGUCAAGAAAAGCCGCUAUUGUUUUACUUAAGCCCGUACCGUAAACCGACACAGGUGGAUGAGGAGAGAAUCCUAAGGCCGACGGGAGAAGCAUUGUUAAGGAACUCGGCAAAAUGACUCCGUAACUUCGGGAGAAGGAGUGCCAGCGAGAGCUGGCCGCAGAGAAUUGGCCCAAGCAACUGUUUAGCAAAAACACAGGUCUAUGCAAAACCGUAAGGUGAAGUAUAUGGGCUGACGCCUGCCCGGUGCUGGAAGGUUAAGAGGAGAGGUUAGCGGCAACGCGAAGCUUUGAAUUUAAGCCCCAGUAAACGGCGGCCGUAACUAUAACGGUCCUAAGGUAGCGAAAUUCCUUGUCGGGUAAGUUCCGACCCGCACGAAAGGCGUAAUGAUUUGGGCACUGUCUCAACAAUGCACCCGGUGAAAUUGAAAUACCAGUGAAGAUGCUGGUUACCUGCGCCAGGACGGAAAGACCCCAUGGAGCUUUACUCCAGCUUGAUACUGGGAUUCGGUAUUGCAUGUACAGGAUAGGUGGGAGGCUAGGAAGUGAUAACGCCAGUUGUCACGGAGCCGCUGUUGGGAUACCACCCUUGCAGUAUUGGAUUUCUAACCAGCGACCAUGAACUGGUCGGGGGACAAUGUCAGGUGGGGAGUUUGACUGGGGCGGUCGCCUCCGAAAGGGUAUCGGAGGCGCUCAAAGGUUCCCUCAGAAUGGACGGAAACCAUUCGAAGAGUGCAAAGGCAGAAGGGAGCUUGACUGCGACACCGACGGGUGGAGCAGGUACGAAAGUAGGACUUAGUGAUCCGGUGGUAUAAAGUGGGAUUGCCAUCGCUCAACGGAUAAAAGCUACCCUGGGAUAACAGGCUUAUCACUCCCAAGAGUUCACAUCGACGGAGUGGUUUGGCACCUCGAUGUCGGCUCAACGCAUCCUGGGGCUGAAGUAGGUCCCAAGGGUUGGGCUGUUCGCCCAUUAAAGCGGUACGCGAGCUGGGUUCAGAACGUCGUGAGACAGUUCGGUCCCUAUCCGGCGUGGGCGUAGGAUAUUUGAGAGGAGCUGUCCUUAGUACGAGAGGACCGGGAUGGACUGGCCGCUGGUGUAUCUGUUGCAUACCAAAUGCAUGGCAGAGUAGCCAAGCCGGGACGGGAUAAACGCUGAAGGCAUCUAAGCGUGAAGCCCCCCUCAAGAUGAGAUAUCCCUACGUAAGUAGUAAGACCCCUUGAAGACGACGAGGUAGAUAGGUCAGAGGUGGAAGUACAGUAAUGUAUGGAGCUGACUGAUACUGAUCGGUCGAGGGCAUGACCAA